GAGUAUACAAAGCAGGGCGGGUGCUUACCAUGCAAGUCGAACGGUGAACACGGAGCUUGCUCUGUGGGAUCAGUGGCGAACGGGUGAGUAACACGUGAGCAACCUGCCCCUGACUCUGGGAUAAGCGCUGGAAACGGCGUCUAAUACUGGAUACGAACCAUGAAGGCAUCUUCAGUGGUUGGAAAGAUUUAUUGGUUGGGGAUGGGCUCGCGGCCUAUCAGCUUGUUGGUGAGGUAAUGGCUCACCAAGGCGUCGACGGGUAGCCGGCCUGAGAGGGUGACCGGCCACACUGGGACUGAGACACGGCCCAGACUCCUACGGGAGGCAGCAGUGGGGAAUAUUGCACAAUGGGCGCAAGCCUGAUGCAGCAACGCCGCGUGAGGGAUGACGGCCUUCGGGUUGUAAACCUCUUUUAGCAGGGAAGAAGCGAAAGUGACGGUACCUGCAGAAAAAGCGCCGGCUAACUACGUGCCAGCAGCCGCGGUAAUACGUAGGGCGCAAGCGUUAUCCGGAAUUAUUGGGCGUAAAGAGCUCGUAGGCGGUUUGUCGCGUCUGCUGUGAAAUCCGGAGGCUCAACCUCCGGCCUGCAGUGGGUACGGGCAGACUAAAGUUGCGGGAGGGGAGAUUGGAAUUUCCUGGUGUAGCGGUGGAAUGCUCAAGAUUAUCAGUAGGAACUC
Molecule: ribosomal RNA, 677 nt
Filed under: Microbacterium hydrocarbonoxydans
Lineage: Bacteria; Bacillati; Actinomycetota; Actinomycetes; Micrococcales; Microbacteriaceae
Description: bacterial SSU rRNA
Rfam family: Bacterial small subunit ribosomal RNA
Source: RNAcentral